AUCAUUACAGAGUUACUACUCCAAACCCAUUGUGAACCUUACCUAUGUUCUGUUGCCUCGGCGGCGUGGUCAGCGCCCCUCUGAAAAGAGGACGAUGCCCUCCCGCCGGCAGCACCAAACUCUUGAAUUUUACAGCGGAUUACAGUUCUGAUUUGAAAACAAAAAAACAAGUUAAAACUUUCAACAACGGAUCUCUUGGUUCUGGCAUCGAUGAAGAACGCAGCGAAAUGCGAUAAGUAAUGUGAAUUGCAGAAUUCAGUGAAUCAUCGAAUCUUUGAACGCACAUUGCGCCCGGCAGUAAUCUGCCGGCAUGCCUGUCCGAGCGUCAUUUCAACCCUCGAACCUCCGUUUCCUCAGGGAAGCUCAGGGUCGGUGUUGGGGCGCUACGGCGAGUCUUCGCGACCCUCCGUAGGCCCUGAAAUACAGUGGCGGUCCCGCCGCGGUUGCCUUCUGCGUAGUAAGUCUCUUUUGCAAGCUCGCAUUGGGUCCCGGCGGAGGCCUGCCGUCAAACCACCUAUAACUCCAGAUGGUUUGACC
RNAcentral lists this ribosomal RNA (537 nucleotides) under Scedosporium boydii. Its description in RNAcentral is "eukaryotic LSU rRNA". The stretch from base 176 to 328 matches the Rfam family "5.8S ribosomal RNA". The record is from RNAcentral. Lineage: Eukaryota; Fungi; Ascomycota; Sordariomycetes; Microascales; Microascaceae.